AUUGAACGCUGGCGGCAUGCCUUACACAUGCAAGUCGAACGGUAACAGGCCACGAGCUGCCGCCUAGUGGCGGCCGGUUGAGUACUGCAUCGGAACGUACCCAGACCUAGUGGUUCGUGACUGGAAACGUUAGCUAAUUCCCCCUACUACCUCAUACUACAUACGGGUGAAAGCAGGGCAUCUUCCGAUCUUGCCCGCUGGAAUCAGCCGAUGUAGGAUUAGCUAGUUGGUGGGGUAAAGGCCCACCAAGGCAACGAGCUGUAGCUGGUCUGAGAGGACAACCAGCCACACUGGGACUGAGACACGGCCCAGACUCCUACGGGAGGCAGCAGUGGGGAAUAUUGGACAAUGGGCGCAAGCCUGAUCCAGCAAUGCCGCGUGGAUGAAGAAGGCCUUCGGGUUGUAAACUGCUUUUGUAGGGAACGAAAAGGCUCUGGUUAAUACCCGGGGGUACUGACGGUACCGAAAGAAUAAGCACCGGCUAACUACGUG
This 492-nucleotide ribosomal RNA is filed under the name uncultured bacterium. Its description in RNAcentral is "partial 16S ribosomal RNA". It matches the Rfam family "Bacterial small subunit ribosomal RNA", at positions 30 to 507 of the family's 1533-position model. The record is from RNAcentral.